RNAcentral lists this long non-coding RNA (219 nucleotides) under Mytilus galloprovincialis (Mediterranean mussel). The record is from RNAcentral. Lineage: Eukaryota; Metazoa; Mollusca; Bivalvia; Mytilida; Mytilidae.
GGUUUAGAGUUGUCAUGGCUUAUUAUUGUUUUUGGUACAUGUAUGUUGAUGUUUAUAAAGGAGAUCCUUAUGUUUAGAAGUUCUGCUCGCAAUUGAAAGCGAGUAUUUAAGUGACACGCAUGUUUAUAUAGUACACAGGUGAGCUGUUUUUCUCACCUGAGUGGUUUUACUUUAAACAGCUCGAUUAGAGUUCAUAAAUGAAGGCAAUUGCAAUGUUAU